UACGGAGGGUGCGAGCGUUGUCCGGAAUCACUGGGCGUAAAGGGCGCGUAGGCGGCCUGUUAAGUCGGGGGUGAAAUCCUGCGGCUUAACCGCAGGGCUGCCUUCUAAACUGUCAGGCUCGAGCACAGUAGAGGCAGGUGGAAUUCCCGGUGUAGCGGUGGAAUGCGUAGAGAUCGGGAAGAACAUCAGUGGCGAAGGCGGCCUGCUGGGCUGUUGCUGACGCUGAGGCGCGACAGCGUGGGGAGCAAACAGG
Molecule: ribosomal RNA, 253 nt
Filed under: uncultured bacterium
Lineage: Bacteria
Description: partial 16S ribosomal RNA
Rfam family: Bacterial small subunit ribosomal RNA
Source: RNAcentral